This 506-nucleotide ribosomal RNA is filed under the name uncultured bacterium. RNAcentral's name for it is "partial 16S ribosomal RNA". It matches the Rfam family "Bacterial small subunit ribosomal RNA", at positions 29 to 523 of the family's 1533-position model. The record is from RNAcentral.
AGUGAACGCUGGCGAUAGGCCUAACACAUGCAAGUCGAACGGCAGCACAGGAGAGCUUGCUCUCUGGGUGGCGAGUGGCGGACGGGUGAGGAAUACAUCGGAAUCUACUCUGUCGUGGGGGAUAACGUAGGGAAACUUACGCUAAUACCGCAUACGACCUACGGGUGAAAGCAGGGGACCUUCGGGCCUUGCGCGAUUGAAUGAGCCGAUGUCGGAUUAGCUAGUUGGCGGGGUAAAGGCCCACCAAGGCGACGAUCCGUAGCUGGUCUGAGAGGAUGAUCAGCCACACUGGAACUGAGACACGGUCCAGACUCCUACAGGAGGCAGCAGUGGGGAAUAUUGGACAAUGGGCGCAAGCCUGAUCCAGCCAUACCGCGUGGGUGAAGAAGGCCUCCGGGUUGUAAAGCCCUUUUGUUGGGAAAGAAAUCCAGCUGGCUAAUACCCGGUUGGGAUGACGGUACCCAAAGAAUAAGCACCGGCUAACUUCGUGCCAGCCGCCGCCGUAA